UCGGGAAUUUUGGGCAAUGGGCGCAAGCCUGACCCAGCCACGCCGCGUGAGGGAUGAAGGCCUUCGGGUCGUAAACCUCUGUCGGGAGGGACGAACGGACUGCGGGUGAAACAAUCCGCGGUAUUGACGGUACCUCCAAAGGAAGCGCCGGCUAACUCCGUGCCAGCAGCCGCGGUAAUACGGAGGGCGCAAGCGUUGUUCGGAAUUACUGGGCGUAAAGCGCGUGUAGGCGGCCGAGCAAGUCGGGUGUGAAAUCCCGGGGCCCAACCCCGGAACUGCACUCGAAACUGCCCGGCUGGAGUCCCGGAGAGGAAGGCGGAAUUCCCGGUGUAGAGGUGAAAUUCGUAGAUAUCGGGAGGAACACCAGUGGCGAAGGCGGCCUUCUGGACGGUGACUGACGCUGAGACGCGAAAGCGUGGGGAGCAAACAGGAUUAGAUACCCGCGUAGUCC
Molecule: ribosomal RNA, 451 nt
Filed under: uncultured prokaryote
Description: bacterial SSU rRNA
Rfam family: Bacterial small subunit ribosomal RNA
Source: RNAcentral